This 18855-nucleotide long non-coding RNA is filed under the name Homo sapiens (human). RNAcentral's name for it is "HSALNT0160167". Lineage: Eukaryota; Metazoa; Chordata; Mammalia; Primates; Hominidae. The record is from RNAcentral.
CUGAGACAGCAAGACUAUCCCUCCUCUUCCUCCUCCUCCUCCUCAGCCUACUCAACGUGAAGGCGAUGAGAAUGAGGAUGAAGACCUUUAUGAUGAUCCACUUCCACUUAAUGAAUAGUAAAUAUAUUUUCUCUUCCUUAUGAUUUUCUUAAUAACAUUUUCUUUUCUCUAGCUUACUAUAUUGUAAGAAUGUAGUAUAUAAUAUGUAUAACAUACAAAAUGUGUGCUAAUUGACUGUUUAUCUUAUUGGCAAUGUUACAGGAAAGGGGUCCAGGUCCAGAUCCCAAGAGAGGGUUCUUGGAUCUUGCAAGAAAGAACUCAGGGCAAGUCCGCAGUACAAAGCAAAAGCAACUUUAUUAAGAAAGUAAAGUGGUGAAAGUAGGGUGAUAUGGUUUGGCUGUGUCCCCACCCAAAUCUCACCUUGCAUUCCCACAUGUUGUAGGAGGGACCCAGUGGAAGGUGACUGAAUCAUGGAGGCAAGUCUUUGCCGUGCUGUUCUCCUGAUAGUGAAUAAGACUCACAAGAUCUGAUGGUUUUAAAAAGAAGAGUUUCCUUGCACAAGCUCAUCCUCUCUUUGCCUGCUGCCAACCACAUAAGAUGUGAUUUGCUCCUUCCUGCCUUCUGCCAUGAUUGUGAGGCUUCUCCAGCCACAUGGAACUGUAAAUCCAAUUAAACAUCUUUCUUUUGUAAAUUGCCCAGCCUUGGGUAUGUCUUUAUCAACAGCAUGAAAUCGGACUAAUAUACAGCUACUUCAUAGACAGAGUAGGGGGUUUCCGAAAGUAAGAGGAGGAAGGCGUCCACCUUAAGUAAAAUGCUCCUAUGUAUAGGAUAAAAAAAGAUUAUGGGGAGAUGUGCUCUGCUAAGAGUUUGUGAUAAAGGAUUAAUUUUCUUAAUUACUUUAUUUUGCAAGAAUUGAUAUUGUCUUUAAAGCAAAAUUAGGAAUGCUUUUGUUCUCAAGAUAUCAGGAUAUUAGGACACUCCCAAGUCUAGGUCUGUUUAGUAAACAUUAUCAAUCUGUUCCCUUAACUGUAAACACCUCGAGGCUAGGAAUACCUAACUUUCUGGGAAUGCAGCCACGCAAGUCUCAGCAUCAUUUUCUUAGCCCUCACUCAAGAUGAAGUCGCUCUGGUUUGAACGCCUCUGACAGCAAGUCUUCCAGUCACCAUUAGACUAUUAGUAGUUAAGUUUUGUGACGGAGUCUGGAUCCAUCGCCCAGGCUGUAUUGCAGUGGCGGAUCUCUGCUCACUGCAACCUCCGCCUCCCGGGUUCAAGCAAUUCUCCUGCCUCAGCCUCCCGAGUAGCUGGGAUUACAGGCGCCUGCCACCACGCCAUGCUAAUUUUUGUAUUUUUAGUAGAGAUGGGGUUUCACCAUGUUGGCCAGGCUGGUCUCGAACUCCAGACCUCAAGUGAUCUGCCCACCUCAGCCUCCCAAAGCGCUGGGAUUACAGGCAUGAGUCACCACGCCCAGCCAACCUAGUUGUUUCUCUCCCUCUAUCCACCUCACUUCCACUGACUACAUUUAAGUACACUAGCCAAGGAAAUUGGAGAAAUAAAGUCUCCUCACAAGGAAGUUCAGGUUUAACUUAGAACAAGUGGUGGCAGAAUAAAGUUAAUUUUGUUGUUUCUGGUUUUCUUUUUUUAAUUGAUGGAUUUCUGCUUCUUUCUUUAUUGCUUUCUUCCUUCUACCUAUUCAGAUUUACUAUGAUCUUACCUAGUUUAUAAGUUUACUGUUUAGUUAGUUUCUUUAGACUUUUUUUAAACAAAUGCAUUUAAGACUAUACAUUUACCUUUACAUACUACUUUAGGUGUAUCUCACAUUUUAAAAAAAUGUAAUGCUUUGUGGUAGUUCUCCUAAAUGUUUUGUUUUUUUAAUUAAACAUGAACUACUUAGGAGUGUGUUUUGGGGUUUCUAAACCUAUAUUUUUUAAAAGUAUCUAAUAUUGUAGUCAGAGAAUGUGUUUAUGUAAUAGCUAUUCUCUGAAAUUUACUGAAAUUGUGACAUAUACAUGAUCAGUUUUUGUAAACAUUCUUUGUGUACUCAAACCUAUAAAUAUUUUCUAUUUAAAGGAUGCAGACCGAUAGAUCUAUCUUCUUUAGAGAGAGAGAGAAUUAGACAGUCUGGCUAAUUCUGUUUCUUAAAGCUUCAAAAAGGAUUUUUAAAGUUAUUGUGCUUUGUCUGUUGGCUUCUGAUAGAAAUAUAUUAACAUUUCACACUGUAAUUAUAGUUUUGUUAAUUUUUUUCCUAAUAAUAUUGUCAGGAUUUAUUUUAUAUAUUUUAAAGCUAAGUGGUUAGGGUAAUCAUGUUCAUGAUUAUUAUAUCUUCUUGGUAGAUUUUCCUUUUAUUUUUAUGUAGUAUCUCUAUUUAUCCUUAUUAACACAUUUUGGGUUAAAUUGUACUUUGCUUGAUAUAACUAUUUCUAGGCAAGUUUCUUUAGACUAACAUUUUCAUACUUAGCUUUUUCCAUCCAUUUACUUUAAGCUAUUAUCACUUGUCAGGAGGAUUUGGCUAGCAUCUGUUUAUGUUUUUAUCUAAGCUAAUAAUAUUUUUCCAAAGACUAUUCUUUCAAUUUACUUGUAUUAUAAUUAUGAUAUUUUAAAAUUUAUAACUACCAUUUUAUUUUGUGGGUUUUUUUGGCAUAUAUACUAUCAAUAUUUUUAACACAGUCUAUAAUUAUUUAGUAUUCCUGUACUCCUUUUAAACAUACCUCAGACCUUAGAAUUUUUUAACUACUAUUUACUUAAAUUCUUGUAAUACGAUUGCUUCUAAUGUUAUUAAUAAUAACCAACACUUAUGUGGCCUUUAUUAUGUUCCAGGGACUUUUGAAGUGUUUCACAUACAUUGACUCAGUUACUCCUUACAAUGACCCUGUGAGGUCUCUACUGUUACUAUCUCCUUUUACAAAUGAGGAAACUGAGAUAAGGAGGUCAAAGUGACUUAACCAAGGCCAUAGAAUUAGUAGCAAGUGGUGGACCAAAAUUUGGAUAAAAAAACUUUAAAACUUUAUGGGGGAAACAUAGAAUAACAAUUUUAAUAUUGGAGUAUAAUAAGAUUUAGGUAAUAAGAGAGAAAAAAGGAGAAACCACAAAGUAAAAGCUUGAUAAAUCAGACUUUAUUACAAUUUAAAAUGUGUAUUAGACAAAUGGCACCUAAAGAAAGUUUCAAGGUCAAGCAGUGAACUGGGAAAGUUAUAAGCCGCACCCUUGAAAGAUAAAGGAGAGUUUUCCAGUCUAUAUAAAGAAUUACCCAUCAAUAAGAAAAGGACAAGCAACCCCACCCUACCCAACUCUGCCCACCCCAACUAAAGAGCAAAAAGUGUGAAAAUGCAAUUGACUAACAAGGAAAUCAGAAUGAUCAACACACUCAAUCCCCCAGGCAAUUGGAGAAAGGCUUGUGAAAACUAGGAGAUGUAAGAUUGCAGAAGGAGGUGAUAUGUUUCCCUGCAACUGACAGCACCACCCACAGACACGCUCCAGCAGCUCUUACGCACGGUGGAGUCAGGCAGCCUGUGGAUAAACUAGCUUGUUCAGACCUAGAGGAUUGGCACAUCUAACUGGGACAUUGAAUAGCAAGGAAUAUGAAUGACGUGGAGCCACAGAUGCAGGCAACAGUGCAAUGGAAUCUGGAAGCACAGACAUGCAGCACAGAAGGUGAUGUGAAUCUGUCCUGUCUGCAAGAUCCAGAUUGUGUCACUGGUGUUUGAAUGAAUUUGUGUGUAUGUAGCAGUCAGCCAACAUACUCUCCGCAGUGACGUCUGUAGGGAAAUACAAGACUUGUUUGUGUCUGUGGGGUAGCAUAGACUACCGCUGCUGUUUGAUUGAGGGACAUUCAGGGAGACUUUAUGUGUUUCCACUGAAUAUUUUUUUUAAGGAGCUGGAGGUUGAAAAGCUAUGACAACAACAACAAAAAAAUUGCUAAUAAGAUUCCAUUUGAAGCUGAGUCAUUAUUUCUGCCAAUCAUUCACUCCCUUCUAAGUAAAAUAAACUUCCAGACAUGGAAUCAUGUAAUCUGGAGUUGGAAAGGAACUUCGAUGUCAUCAAGAAUUAUUUCUCACUAAUUGGAAGAAUCACAGAAAAUCUGAACAUAUAAUUAUCUUUCUCAAUCUCUCCUCUCUUUUUAUUUUCCUGCUUAGUUUCCCUCUCUCUCUCUCUCUCUCACACACACACACACACACACACACACACAUUUCUCUGCCCCUCUGUAAUGUGUUUCACUAACUGUUUCUACUUUAACCAGCUUAAAUAACAAAAAGAAACAUUUUGCUCUUUUUUUGCAUUUAAUAGUUCUUCAAAUAUCAUGGCAUUUGGAUUUAUUUUCUUCUGGCUAAAAUACUUCCCUUUAUAGCUUGGUUUCAUGACUUUGCCAUCUCAAUCAGUUUUCUCUAGAUACACCCUAGUGAGAGAAGGACAUCUUUAUUUAAUGGAUGUUAUUUUAAGAUAUUUAGAGAUUUAACACAAAAAUUGUAUUGAUACUAAAAGUGACUAUCAGUUACAACUACCCUAUUAAAUCAAACUGAGAUUCUGUAGGUCUUCAGUCAUGUCUGAACUCAAACUCGGUUCCUCCUCUUGUAUCUCAUGAAGCAUGAAGGACUCAUCUAUUUGUGACACCUGGUAGUCCAGGUAGAGAGAUACCUUCUUGGUCUUCAACUUAGAAUCUGUCUAUGAUGACCAGGCCAUAGUUUCAUGCUAGUGGUCCCUUAUCAAUGCUAAUGUUGAGAAUGUUAAUAGUGUUAGCCAUUUCCUUUAGGUACUGCAUAACAUGGAAGAUGAGCGAGACACAAUCGUGCUUCAAAUAACUUACCAUUUAUUUUAGACGGAAGGCAAAGAAAUAAACAGAGUACAUAGUUGUAAUAAGGCAAAAUCAAAAGCUGCAAACCAUGGAAUUAUCUUAAAUGUUUUACUUUUUUUUCAGAGUUUGUUUUUGAGUAUAUAUUGUAGUCCAUAUCUGCUGUUUAUCUCUCACAAGGGUACAAAAUGCUCUUUAAAACCAUUUACACCUAAAAAUACAUUUCAGAUGUAUCACUGUCAUGGAGUUAGUCUAUUGGUAUGAUAAAUACUUCAGUUGACUUUGCAUGGGUAGGAAAAGAGCUAAUUGUCAAAAAGCAAAUCACCAGGCAAUGGAAUUUUACUCCCUGAAACACAAGAUCCUUAAAAUUAUGCUGUUUGAGAGGAAUUCCUCCUCAAACAUAUUCUAUAUUCAUCUGACUUCAUAAAUAGAUGAACUGAGCAUAAUUUAACCUUUCGUUGAUGACUCAUUGUCAACAUUCUCAUACAUUUUUUAGAGAUGGAGUCUCAUUUUGUCACCCAGGCUGGAGUGCAGCAGUAUGAUCAUGGCUCACCACAGCCUCGAACCCUGGGCUCAAGCAAUCCUCCUGCCUCAGCCUCCUGAGUAGCUGGGACUACAGGGGUAGGCCACCAUGCCAGGCUAAUUUUUGUAUUUUUUUUGUAGAGACAGAGUUUUGCUACAUUGCUCAGGCUGAUCUCUCCUCUUGGGCUCAAGUGAUCUGCCAGCCUUGGCCUCCUGAAGUGCUGGGAUUAUAGGCAUGAGCCACCAUGCCCGGCCCAAUAUCAACAUUCUGAACAUCAGCCUUUGUACUGAGUGAUAAUACAGCAACGCUGUCAAGGCCCACUGGGAGAACAAAGAGAGGUGGAUCCCAGGAGGCAGCCAGGGGAUGCAAGGAGCCAACAUGCCAUCAGAGAGGGGUGAAGAGAUAAGGUCCCAAGGAAAGCUAUUGGAAAGCUUUCUACCAAAAGGGAGAUCAAGGACCACAGAGCACAUCCUGAAAGACAAGUCAUCCUCAGUGAGUGCCUUAUCAAGCUUAUUACUUCAUGGUGACAAGAGGGCUGCACUUGAUCCAACAUCAAUUUUGGAUUCCAGUAAGCAAGAAGAAGAAGACAAAUGAGAAAAAGAUAUAAGCCAGUUGAUUUUUCAGCAAACCUUCCAAGAGCAAAGGGGACACUUUCCCUUCACCCCUGCAGAAGACGUCUCCGAGGAAGUGAAACAUUGGUGGAUAUAUGAUAGAAAUCAUCAUGGUAAAGAAAGUAUUACAGUAAGACUGAAAACCAACCAUUUUGCCCAAGGGACAGACCCUCAGCUGUGACUCUGCACCUGAUCUCUGUGGCUUUGCUGAAAUGUAGCUUUAACCCUGGAGUACCCUAAAGGUGAGCACCAGCGCGAUGGAGAGGUGAGAGCACAGACUUUGGCUGUUGGCCUCAGUUUCUUCCUCUGCAGUUUGGUGUGAAGCUCAGAGAUGGUGCAUGGAGCCCCCAGAGAUAGUAGCUGGCACCUGGAGACCCAUGCCCUGCUUGGGCCACACCUCUGCUGGUGCAGGGAAACCUGGGCAACCCGAGGUGGACAGACCAGUUCUACUGGAAGCUGGUCCCCAUCACCUGUACUUUUCCCACAAAAGACUCCCUUCCUUAUCCCCUUCCUCACUCACCCACAAAAGAACCCUUUCCUUAUCCAUGACCUGUACUUUACCCACAAGAAACCCCCUUCCUUACCCACUCCCUUCCUUACUCAAUCUGGCAGGGCUCAGAUUGCAAUAAAGAAGGGUCAGUAAUCCACAAAUCCAAAUAUUCAGUUUCCUGGCAGACGUAGAAUCAUUCAUAUUCUUGAAUCAAAAGGAUCUGUUCACGAUUAGAAAAAAAAAUUCAUCUAACUGCGUUUUUCAUUAAUAGAAACUGCAUAUAGAAAUCCUCUAGAACAACAUCAUACACCAUGGAGUUGACAAUUCAUCAUGCUCUAUUCUAGGCUCGGCUUCAGCAUAUUUGAAAUCAGCUAGGAGGCUUCUGUUGAUACAAAAUACAGUAUUUGUAGACUGAUCUAGUCCUGCAGCAGGUGGUAAAGAAGUAUGAACUGAAACUGCCAUAUGGCGGUGUGAAGGAAAUGUUUCUCUCCAGAGAAAUACUUGAAAGUGUCAUAAAAACAGUAAAAACAUUUAACAGCUCAAAAGGCUUAAAUUCAGUAUGUACAGAAACUGUGUCAACUUUGGAGUCAGGCUGCUUUCAUUAAAAUCUCAGCAGAUAGAUGAUAACUUUCACUCGCGUCCAUGUGAAGAGACCACUAAACAGGCUUUGUGUGAGCAAUAAAGCUUUUAAUCACCUGGGUGUGGGUGGGGUGAGUCCGAAAAGAGAGUCAACGAAGGGAGAUAGGGGUGGGUCCAUUUUAUAAGAUUUGGGUAGGUAAAGGAAAAUUAUAGUCAAAGGGGGGGUUGUUCUCUGGCGGGCAGGAGUAGGGGUCACAAGAUGCUCAGUAGGGGAGCUUUUGAGCCAGGAUGAGCCAGGAGAAGGAAUUUCACAAGAUAAUGUCAUCAGUUAAGGCAGGAACAGGCCAUUUUCACUUCGUUUGUGGUGGAAUGUCAUCAGUUAAGGCAGGAACCGGCCAUCUGGAUGUGUAUGUGCAGGUCACAGGGGAUAUGAUGGCUUAGCUUGGGCUCAGAGGCCUGACAAUACCCAGGCAGAUAAGUAAUGUGACUUUGUGCAAGUGACUUAAACUCUGGAGCUUUGGUUUCCUCAUAGAAAAGAGGGAAUAGACCCUUGGGAUUAUAGUGAAAAUGAAAAGAAAUAGUGUAUAUACAGCAACUAGCCUAGUCUCUGGUCUAUGUGGAAAACGCUUGAUAAGAUUAUCAUUGUCAUGAUUGUUUUUAUAUUAUGAAUACAUUUGUUGUGUUACAUAUAAUUCACGUCUACCUUCUGUGAAAGUAUGUAUAGGCAUACAGAUGGAGAUGGUAAGAGAAAAGAGGAAGAGAAAGAAUCAGAAAAAUAUACGCCUGAUUCACCCUCCCAAUCCUGCUACUCAAACCUUUUAUUCUAUGCCCAGUCUUCCCCAUCUCCAUAAAUGGAAUACCAUCCACCCAGUUGCUCAAGCCAAAUAUUUCAGAGUCAAUGUAAAUAUUUCCCUUUCCCUUACUGGCUGGCCACUGUCUAUCUAAUUUCAGUCAUUAUAAUCUCAUCAUCAUCUCUCCCUGGAUUUUAUAUUUUUAUUUAGCUUCGUCUUCCUAAAUCUUCUCCCUGCUUUCAUUCAGAGUCCCCUCUAACCACACAAAACCAGAACUUCCUUCUUAAAAUAGAAAUUAGAUCACAUCUCUCUUCCCAACUGGAAACCCUUCGGUGACUUCUCAUUGUACUUCAAGUAAGAUGCAAACACCUUUCCAGGGCCUCCAAACCCCUGCACAAUUGGGUUCCCAAUACUCCCUAACACCACCUCCUACACCCUCCCUGACUAUAUUUCAGUCCCUUGAACAAGCCAAGCUCCUUUCCACCUCACAGCCUGUGCACAAAUUGUUCUCUCUGCCUGGAACACUCUUCCAUUUUGGCAUAAAUGUCUGAUUCCUUUCUGACCUUCAAGCCAGAAUUUCAAGGUCAAUUGCUCAGAGAGGCCUUCCCAGUACACCAACUGAAGCAGAUGACCUCCUCACCUCAGUCAUUCUCUAGAUCCACAUUGUGUCUUAACAGCACAUAAAAUAACUUGUAUUUUAUUAGUUUUUCAUUUUUUUCGUGUGUCUGUCUCUCCCAAAGGUUGUAAAUAACUUGAAGGCUGGGGCCAUAUCUGUCUUUUCCAUUUUUUCACUUGCAGUGCUCAAUACAAUGCACUGUGCUGGGCAUAGAGAAGAUGUUCAGUAAAUAUUUGAUGUAAGAAAUUGGGUCAUUGGAUAAAACAAUCUUGUAAAUUUCCAUCGUUAAAAUGCCCUAGAUAUAUAAUAAUUUAUUUUCACUCAUUACUGAAAAGUCAGAGAUGAAAAAAGACAACACAUUUUUGUAUGUUUAUAUGUAUGCUUAAAGGGUUAGAAGUAUUUGAUCUUUUAUGGAUCAAUUGUUGAAGAAUUAUCUGUUGCCUAGAAAGAGGUCAUGUGAAAGAGGCAAAUGUAAAUGCAGGAAUUUUGCUCAUUGCAGUUAAUUGACACUUUCAGGGCCAAUGGAUCACAUGAGUCACUUUUUAAAAAUCUUUCUCCUAUUUUAGAGGAUACAGUGGUUUGAAACCAACAUUACAGCAGCAUGUUUCAUAGGACUUGUUCUUUAUUGAUCAUGGGCAAAGAUUAAUUUCAAGUAUGUAAUUGUCAUCUGAGGGCCUGACUUCUCAUGGGCCCCAGCUGCUUUUUUUCUGUAUAAUUUAGAUUAGAAGUUGACUGCAGUGAAUGCCAUGCUGUAUCUCUCAGAUCCCCCUCUUUGGAACUGAGGCCCUCAACCCCCAGCAGCUAGAGCACUGUUGAAGAGAGCUAAGGUCUUGUCCCAGCUCAGGGGAUGGUCCGUAUUCAAGAGCUGCCCUGGGCAUGUUGGGGGUGGAGGAAAUCCAGCCUCUUGCAUAAGGUGACAGCACAAAUCCAAAGGGCCAUUCCAGCUCCGGAGAUCUGUUGGACAAUUAAGGCCUAUGUUGCAUUUACAUUGACUGCAUUGGGUUCAGCUCCUGCCUCUAUCCAAUCCUACUUUCUUUACUUCCCUACAGAUGUUGUUCCCAAGAUCACUGCCAGUAAUAUUCCUGCAGCCAGAUCUCCAUCUUAAGGUGGAAAAGAUAAUGUCUCUAAUAUGGUCUGGCUGUGUCCCCAUGUAAAUCUCAUCUUGAAUUGUAGUUUCCAUAAUUCCUAUGUAUUAGUAUUAUGGGAGGGACCCAGUGGGAGAUAAUUGAAUCAUGGGGGUGGUUUUCCCCAUACUGUUCUCAUGGUAGUGAAUACGUCUCACAAGAUCUGAUGGUUUUAUAAGGGGUUUCCCCUUUCUGUUGGCUCUCAUUUCUCUCUUUCCUGUUGCCAUGUAAGAUGUCCCUUGCUCUUGAUUGUGAGGCCUCCCCAGCCAUGGGGAACUGUGAGUCCAUUAAACCUCUUUUUCUUUAUAAAUUAUACAAUCUCAGGUAUGUCUUUAUCAGCAGCAUGAAAACAGACUAAUACAGUCUCCUUCUUAAGACAUUGAUUAAAGUGAUUUGGUGCCACUUUUUUUCUACCAUUCCCCUUUUCCUUGGCUUGAAAGGAGUCCUUUGGGGAAAGGGUGAACAAGGGAGUCUACUGUCCAGCUCUCCCCUAACCAUAGGUGGCAGUUUUGAAAAUGUGGAUGGCACAGUCUCCUGCUGACCCAUCUUGAAACCGAAACUAUCAUCUAUCUCCUUUCUACACUCCAUGGCUUCUUCCCAGUACAGAUAAAAAGGUAAGACGGACCACUUCAUUCUAAUUAAUUAGGAAGAGACUAAUCAUAGAUACAUACUUUGAUAUAAUUACAGUUGCCCUCCUGACUGUGGUUUUGCACUCCAAAGCUUCCCCAUGGUCAACUUCAGUGCAAGAAUACUACAUAUAGUAACAUACGUUGAGAGCGAGACAGAGAUCACAUGCACUUGACUUUUGUUACAGUAUGUUGCUAUAAUUGUUCUAUUUUAUUAGUAGUUAUUGUUGUUUUUCUCUUACUGUGCCUAAUUUAUACAUUAAACUUUAUCAUAGGUAUGCAUAUAUAGGAAAAAUCACAGUAUAUAUAGGGUUCAGUACUAUCUGUGGUUUCAGGCAUUCACUGGGGGGUCUUGGAAUGUAUCCUCCAUGGAUAAGGUGAGACAACUGUAUUUUAAAAACAUGUGUUAUGAGCUGAAUUGGGCCCCAAUCCCCAAAAUCAGAUGUUGCCAUCCUAACUUCAGAAUGGGAUUGUAUUUGGAAAUAGAAUCUUUAAAGAGGUAAAGUUAAAAGGAGGUCAUAGAUGUGGGCCCUAAUCUAAUACAAAUUGUGUGCUUAUAAAAAGAGGAGAUUGGGACACAGCCACACACAGAGGGAAGACCAUGUGAAGACACGCAAGAGAAAAGACAGCCAUCUAGAAGCCAAAGAGAGAGGCCUUAGAAGAAACCAACCUUGCCAAACACCCUGAUCUCAGGCUUCAAACUUCCAGCACAGCACACUGCCGAUCAAAUCAUCCCUGAUGAUUGUCUCAUGGCACCAUCGUGCUUCUGCCGUCUUGUUCCUGCACCACCACAGACACUCAGGAGCUCUCAAGGGGCCUGGACUGUAUAGUGUUCUGUGGCACAACAGGCACCUCAAUCUCAUGCAAGUACAGUUAAAGAGCAUCAGAUCUGCGCUGCCCUCAUGGAAAUGCUCAGCUUCUGGUACAACAGCUGUUUAAUUGCUUCACAUACAGCCCCCUCUCCUGUCCUUGGAUUCAGUCAAGGUGCAGGGACACAUUUGAGUGACAGGUUCUGCUCUGUGCUCCAUAGUGAUGACUAAGGCUUUGUUUCUGGGUCAAGCUUGUCACGACUCAUUUUUCCCUUAGGAGAAGCUCUCUACUAGCAUAUUUCUCAGUGCCUCAUGCAAAGAGGCUUCUGGUAAGCUGUCCUGCUGGCUUUCCAAUAUGCCCGGGAGAGCUGAAUAGUCACUUCUAGGACACGCCAGGGACUUCCUGCCUCUAGUAACUCUCUCCAAGACUUCCCUUAAAUAUGUUUAUAGGGUGGGAGUUAUAGACAAAAAGUAGAGAAGAUACCAUUGCUUCUUGAGGGAGAAGUUCAAAUGCUGGCUUUAUUUUCUCUGGAUAUUCUACUUUGCUCUUGUCCCUAUUGUCUGGUCUGAGUUAGGAUAUUCAACCUUUGACUUAUUAUCACAGAUGGUUCUAGUGCCCUUACUUGUGUAAACCAAAAAGUAUCUGAGACAGGUCUAAAUCAAUUUAGAGGUCUCUUUUCCCAAGGUUAAGGGCCAUGGCCCAUGGCACAGCCUGAGGAGGUCCUGAGAGCAUGUGUCUAAGGUGGUUAAGUUACAGCAUGGUUUCAUACAUUUUAGGGAGACAGAAGUUACAGGCAAAGACAUAAAUCAAUACACGGAAGUUAUACAUUGGUUCAGCCCAGAAGGGCAGGACAUCUUGAAGGGAGGUAGGGGACAUCUUUCAGGUCAUAGGUAGAUUCAAAGAUUUCCUAAUUGGCAAUUGGUCAAAAGAGUUAAGCUCUGCCUAAAGAGUUGAAUUUGGGAAAAAAAAAAAAAAAAGGCUUGAGUAAUUUAGAUAAGGGUGACUGUGGAAGACUCUAGGUAGCAGGCUUCAGGGAAAAUAGAUGGGAAAUAUCUCUUAUCAGACUCUAAAAAAUUUCAGACUCCCCAGAAAAGACCUAGUAAGGGAAGGAUAUUCUCUACAGAACAGACAUUUCCCCCAUAAGAGAUGUUUUUGCAGAGCCCUUUCAAAGUAUGUCAAAGAAAUACAUUUUGAGGGUAAAUAUUUUGCCUGCUAUCUGUCAUAUGAUGCUAUACCAGAGUCAGAUUGGAAUUUGGUGUCCUAUUGUUACAAAAAGUCUGUUUUGUUAGUCUUAAGAUCUCUGUUUUGAUUCUAAUGUUGGUCAGUUGUUCCUGAACUCCAAAGGGCAGAGGCCAGAAUGAGGCAUGUUUUGCUCCUCCUUCCUGUCAUGGCCUGAACCAGUUUUUCAGGUUUCUUUGGGGUCCUCUUGGUCAAGAGGGGGCCCAUUUAUUCUGUUGAGGAGGCCUAGAAUUUUAUUUUAGUUUCACGCUUGUUUACUAGAGAGUGAUGACGAUACAUCCAAAAUCUGUCACCGAAGAUCUUUGUCUUUGUAGAUUUCCUGUCAGCCUAGUCUUUGUUGGAAGAUCAGCACUCUGUUCUGGCUGGCUCCUGAAUUUACUCAGUGCACCUCCUCCCUUGAUCAUGGGAGGAGUUUGAGAGCUUUUUCAGUAAAAAUAAUAGUUUCUUUCUGUGUGGAGUCCAGAUGAAAGAUAAACACUCAUGGAUGUUUUAGUUUAAAAAAUCCCAUGUCUAAUUUGAUGUGGAAAUGGAUUUUUUAAAAUGAUGUAUAUGAUGACAUUAUAUUUUGGACUGGAGAGACAGUGAUAUGGUUUGGCUGUGUUCCCACCCAAAUCUCAUCUUGAAUUAUAGCUCCCAUAAUCCCCAUGUGUCAUGGGAGGGACCCCGUGGGAGGUAAUUGAAUCAUGGGAGCGAGUUUUUCCUGUGCUGUUCUCAUGAUAUUGAGUAAGUCUCAUGAGAUCUGAUAGUUUUAGAAAGGGCAGUUUCGCUACAUAUACUCUCUUGUUUGCUCCCAUGUAAGAUGUACCUUUGCUCCUCCUUCACCUUCUGCCAUGAUUGGGAGGCCUCCCCAGCCAUGUAGAACUAACUGUGAGUCCAUUAAAUCUCUUUUUCUUUAUAAACUACCUAGUCUCAGCUAUGUCUUUAUUAGCAGCGUGAGAAUGGACUAAUGCAGUAAAUUGGUACUGGUAGAAUGGUGUGCUGGUAUAAGGAUACCCAAAAACAUGGAAGCAGCUUUGGAACUGUGUAAGGGCAAAGAUUGGAACAGUCUGGAGGGCUCAGAAGAAGACAGGAAGAUGUGGGAAAGUUUGGAACUUCCUAGAGACUUGGAGAGUUCAGAAGACAGGAAGAUGUAGGAAAGUUUGGAAUUCCUGGAGACUUGUUGAAUGGCUUUGACCAAAAUGCUGAUAGUGAUAUGGACAAUAAAGUCCAGGUUGAGGAAGUCUCAGAUGGAGAUGAGGAACCUGUUGGAAACAGCAGUAAAGGUUACUCUUGCUAUGCAAAGAGACUAGUGGCAUUUUGCCUUUGCCCCAGAGAUCUGUGGAACUUUGAACUUGAGAGAGAUGAUUUAGGGUAGCCAACAGAAGAGAUUUCUAAGCAGCAAAGCAUUGAAGAGAAAGCAGAGCACAAAAGUUUGGAAAAUUGGCAGCCUGAUGAUGUGAUAGAAAAGAAAACCCCAUUUUCUGGGAAAAAUUCAAGCAGGCUGCAGAAAUUUGCAUAAGUAACAAGCUGCAGAAUGUUAAUCACCAAGACAAUCACAGAAAUGUCUUCAGGGCAUGUCACAGACCUUCACAGCAUCUCCUUUCAUCACAGGUUCAUAGGCCUAGGAGGAAAAAAUGGUUACUUGGGCCAGGGCCUCGCUGCUGUAUGCAGCCUUAGGACUUGGUGCCCUGUGUCCCAGCCACUGCAGCCAUGGCUAAAAGGGGCCAACAUGCAGCUCAGGCCAUUGCUUCAGAGGGUGCGAGCCCUAAGCCUUUGCGGCUUACACAUGGUGCUGGGCCUGUAGGUGCACAGAAGUCAAGAAUUGAGGUUUGGGAACCUCUGCCUAGAUUUCAGAUGAUGUAUGGAAAUGCCUGGAUGUCCAGGCAGAAGUGUGCUGCGGGGCAAAGUCCUCACAGAGAACCUCUGCUAGGGAAGUGCAGAAAGGAAACGUGGGGUGGGAGCCCCCACACAGAGUCAUCACUGGGGCACUGCCUAGUGGAGCUGUGAGAAAAGAGCCACCAUCCUCCAGACCCCAGAAUGGUAGAUCCACUGACAGCUUGCACUAUGCACAUGGAAAAGCAACAGACACUCAACACCAGCCCAUGAAAGCAGCCAGGAGUGGGGGCUGUACCCUGCAAGGCCACAGGGGCAGGGCUGCCCAAGACCAUGGGAACCCACCUCUUACAUCAGCAUGACCUGGAUGUGAGACAUGAAGUCAAAGGAUAUUAUUUUGGGGCUUCACGAUUUGACUGCCCUGCCAGAUUUAGGACUUGCUUGGGGCUUGUAGCUCCCUCAUUUUGGUCAGAUUCUCCCAUUUGGAACAGAUAUAUUCCUGUAUCCUCAUUGUAUCUAGGAAGUAACUAACUUGGUUUUCAUUUUACAGGCCCAUAGAUGGAAAGGUCUUGCCUUGUCUCAGACGUGACUUAGGACUGUGGACUUUUGAGUUAAUGCUGAAAUGAGUUAAGACUUUGAGGGACUGUUGGGAAGGCAUGAUUGGUUUUGAAAUGUGAAGAUAUGAGGUUUGGGAGGGGCCAGGGUUGGAAUGAUAUGAUUUGGCUGUGUCCCCACCCAAAUAUCAUCUUGAAAUUUUAGCUCCUAUAAUCCCCACAUAUCGUGGAAGGGACCUGAUGGGAGGUAAUUGAAUCAUGGAUUUUUCCCAUGCUAUUUUUGUGAUAGCAAAUAAGUCUCAUGAGAUCUGAUGGUUUUAUAAAUGGGAGUUACCCUGCACACAGUUUCUUGCCUGCUGCCAUGUAAGAUGUACCUUUGCUCCUCCUUCACCUUCUGCCAUGGCUGUGAAGCCUCCCCAGCCAUGUGGAACUGUGAAUCCAUUAAACCUCUUUUUCCUUAUAAAUUUCCCAGUCUUGGGUAUGUCUUUAUCAGCAGUGUGAGAACAGACUAACACAGACAGUAAUGUUGUACAGGAUUGUUCAAGUGUUUGUCAUCACUGAAUCCUUCAAAUAUGUAACUUGGGAUCAUCUGCUGACCAGAAAUGACUUUGUUCAAUACAAUAUUCCUUGAGAUAAUGAUGUUUUCUAUUUUUUACUGGUAUGUAAAUGUGAAAUGCUGCUGCUAUUAAAACAAUAGUUUAGAGCUAAUGUGUAAUGAAGUUUUUGUUUGUUUGUUGGCUAAUUUUUCCAUAUGGAAAAUCAUAUGUAAAUAUAGCUUUCUAAAAGAUUUAGCAAAAGUGGAAAGCAAGAGAGGUAGAAAAGAGUUGAUUCCAUGAAUGUGAAACAAUGGCCCUUGAUUUUUCACUGUGCUGUCAUCCCAUCCAGAUGUGCAUGUGACGUGGUGUUGGAGAAUGCUCAGGGGACAGACCCAGGAGCUGCUGCCCAAGGAUUCUUUGACAGAAUCCCAAUCCGGGAUUCUUUGGAGGCUUUUUCUCUGCAGUAUACAAAUAACCCUGAGUAUUGAGCCCUUCCUGAGAUCAAAGUUAAACAUGAGAGCUAAAGGUAGAGCUAGAGGACAUAGGGAAAUGCAAACCCAGUAAAGCUCUGGGGAAAGAGGCUCGCCUAUGCACUCUGCAGAACCUCUACCUCCAGCUUCAAUGUCUGCACCCAAGAAAUACCGUGUACAAGUCUUCACACAUGAGUGCAAAUAACAUACUGAUGGCUGAAAACAAUAAAAUGAACAAGAAAAAAAUUCUCACUAAUUCAAACUGUCUGCAUUCUAUCUCUGUGGUUAUUCUAAGCUCACCUCCAUAACUUUAUGUAUUUAUGUAUUUAAGAGAUGGAGUUUCACUCUGUCACCAAGGCUGGAGUGCAGUCGUGCAAUCACAGCUCACUGCAGCCUUGAACUCUGGGCUCAAGGGAUUCUUCUUCCUCAGCCUCUUGAGCUGGGACUACAGGCAAGCCACAAUGCCCAGCCACCUACCUCAGUUUUAAAUUCUCAUUCUUCCAUUUGCAAUUCUUUUUUUUUUUUUUCAGACAGAGUCUCACUCUAUCAUCCAGGCUGGAGUGCAGUGGUACAAUCUUGGCUCACUGCAACCUUCCCGUCCCAUGUUCAAGCGAUUCUCCUGCCUCAGCUUCCUGAGUAGCUGGGACUGCAGGAGUGUGUCACCACGCUCGGCUAAUUUUUGUAUUUUUAGUAGAGACAGGGUUUUGCCAUGUUGGCCAGGCUGGUCUUGAACUCCUAACCUCAAGUGAUCCAACCACCUCGGCUUCCCAAAGUGCUGGGAUUAUAGGCAUAAGCCACCAUGCCCAGCCUCCGUUUGCAAUUAUUGUCGCUAGAGCACUUUGAAAAGAAAUCGCUGCAUGAGAGUGUGUGUGUGUGCAAUUUUUACAGAUUCCUCCAAAAAUAAAUUGUGCAAGUACAUUAUAUUUUUCAGUAGCCUAUGUCAAUUAUGGUUUCAUUUAAACUGAAUAUGUUCUAAAUUCUUGUCCACAUAAUCUGCCCUCCCAUUUUAUAUGGGACAAGGAUCACAUCAUUUCCAACUACCAUGUCUUUCUAUCACAGGCUGCUGUGCUAUGGCUGAUGCUGCAGUUCCAGAGCAGGCUCCCUGCUGUGAUUCUACUCAUGAGAUGUUUCCCAGCAGAGGAACUAGCGACAGUGCAAGAGGGGACCCCCAUUUCGUGUUUCUGUGAAGGCUGCAGAACCAGGCUUUGUAGUGGAUGCCAGCUCAUUUCCAAGCUAGAUGUCCAAUCUACUAGCUAGAUGUCAAAGGUCAUGAUGAAUCUUUGAUGCAUGACAGAGUCUGAUAGUGGAAGCUUUGUAAAAGCAAAUCUUCCUGGGUGUCAAAGGAAUUUAAGUCUGGCAAUGUGGCAAAGUUUCCCAACAUUCCAAACAGUGGCAGCAUGUUUCCAAAAACAGGUAGCACAAUCUUCUUUUUACAACAAAAAUGAAAGUUAUAGUAGGAUGUAAAUGUAUUUAAACAGCAGAGGCUGUAGAAGACAGCAUAUAAGGGAGCAGUGGUCUAUUACCCUUAACAUUGAGAGGUGGCCUCGUACAAUGGUUAAACAAGUCCUAGGUUUGAAUCUUCGCUCAACUCUGCAAAUUGCAUAAUCUCUCUGAGCUUUAAAUGUUAUUUCAAGAUGUCUAUUCAUGUAAAAUUCCUAGGAUGCUGCUUGGCACAUGGUAAUAAAAGACCCUAAUGGAGGGUAACUGGUAUAUAACAGACUUUCAGGUUUAUUUCUCUUAAAAUUAGGAGCAAAACUUUAUGGUAAAUGACAAAAACAAGCUGCUAACUGAUAAAUAAAACUGUAAUUGGGACUUUAUAUUAAAAGAAAAUUCAGACACAGUGGCUCACACCUGUAAUCCCAGCACUUUGGGAAGUUGAGGUGGAAGGAUUGCUUUAGCCUAGGAGUUUGAGACCAGCCUGGGCUAUAAAUAUACAUACACAUAUAUGUAUAAAUACAUGUACACACAUACAUUUACAUAUUUAUAUGUAAAUAUAUACAUUUGCAUAUUUGCAUAUGUAUGUUAUUUAACUUUAUAUGUACAUAUAUGUAAAUAUAUGUGUAAAUAUGUAAUAUAUGUAUAUAUAAAGUAAAAUGAUAUACAUAUAUAAAUAAAAUGAAGUAAAAUAAUACAAAUAAAUGUAGUUUAUAGCUAAUUGGACUUAGAUUAUAAUUGCUUACAAAUUCCUGCUCCAGUCCUCUCUGUAGGUGGCUGAACCCUGGGCACAGGGAGCAGACAUAAGCAGCAAACUGUCAGUGUUGUUUUGUCUCAGAAAAUAAGGAAACCCAAUGAGAAGGAGAAAGAUGGGGGAACAGCUGGUUGGUAGAGCAGUCAGAACACACACAACAUUUAUUGAUUAAGUUUGCUGUCUUAUGUGGGCAAACCCCAAAACAACUGCGACAGUAACAUCAAAGGAAACUGAUUAUACAUGACCAUAAGAGGCAUAAUAAUAAUGAAAAAGCUUGAAAUAUCUUGAGAAUUACCAAAAUGUGACACAGAGACAAGAUGUGAGCACAUGCUGUUGAAAAUAUGGUGCCAAUAGACUUGCUUGACACUGGGUUGCCACAAACCUUCAAUUUGUAAUAAAUGCAACCUCUGCAAAGUACAGAAAAGCAAAGCACAAUAAACUGAUGCAUUCCUGUACUUAUGGGUAAUUGUAUUUUCAGAAAAUCGGCCUUUUGAAAAGAAAAUGUUUUAAAUGAAAUAUUUUGCAAGAAUUAUAGAGCCCAACAGUGGCUUCAGAAUAUCUUACUACUGUAGUUUAAAAAUAACUCCCUUUCCUUUCAAUUUGGUAAGCGUGUGACUUACAAACCUGUCACUCAAAAAAACUAAGAAUUGAGCUAAAACUCUAUUCUUCACUCAAUAAUGAGAAUGCAGCACUUACAUGUAUUUUCUUCCUGAAUAUUCCUUGACACUGUAUGUCUGGGAUGUGCACGUAUGUGUUAUGCAAUGUCUUUUGCCCUAAUGGCAUAUUAGCAGGAAGCAACCAUACCUGCCACCAAGCAAGUCUCCUAUUUCUGGUAUAAGUAUGAGGUCUUGGAGAAGAAAAUGUUGUGCCCUUCUAUUCCAGAAGCAAAAAACAAGGAAAUGAUGCAGAAGUCUCUUGGGGAGAGUAUCUGCCAAGUUUCCAUUUUAUUUCUUGGUAUGUAAACAAACAUUCGGUGUUCCCUCUAUAUAAAAUAAGAAAACCAUGGUAUAUAAUGAUGUUUCCUGUUUAUAUUGUGACUGUCAGAAUGGUUUUAUAAAUGCUCUUUUAUUGGGUCUUCACAAUAAAAGAAAAAAGCAAAAAAA